UACGGAGGAUGCAAGCGUUAUCCGGAUUUAUUAGGUUUAAAGGGUGCGUAGGCGGGGACUUAAGUCAGUGGUAAAAGGCAAUAGCUUAACUAUUGUAAGCCAUUGAAACUGGGUUUCUUGAGUUCGGUAGAGGUAGGCGGAAUGUGUUGUGUAGCGGUGAAAUGCUUAGAUAUAACACAGAACACCGAUUGCGAAGGCAGCUUACUAUGCCGUUACUGACGCUGAUGCACGAAAGCGUGGGGAUCAAACAGG
This 252-nucleotide ribosomal RNA is filed under the name uncultured bacterium. RNAcentral's name for it is "partial 16S ribosomal RNA". It matches the Rfam family "Bacterial small subunit ribosomal RNA", at positions 524 to 776 of the family's 1533-position model. The record is from RNAcentral.